Molecule: long non-coding RNA, 811 nt
Filed under: Gossypium barbadense (sea-island cotton)
Lineage: Eukaryota; Viridiplantae; Streptophyta; Magnoliopsida; Malvales; Malvaceae
Description: long non-coding RNA (GBAR_LNC003695)
Source: RNAcentral
CCAUGGAAGUUUGGGGGGAGGUAGGAAUGACUCGUUAACGGCCGUUUCUUUUUUCAACAAUAUUUUAGCCAUUCCUGUUGUGGGUUCUCGAUGUCGACUGAUGAAUAUUGCCUGGAGCUUAUGGUUGCAUAGUAACCUUCUCGUUCGGAAAGGUAAUGUUGCCUCUUUUCAUUCUAUCAUUUCAGCCGCUGAUCAAUUUUUACAAGAUUAGUCUGAUGCCCGGAGAGUUGGCGACGGAACGCAGCAGCAUGCUGCUGUAGGUGGCAUGAGCAGCGAGCAUUGGGUUAGACCUGCAGCGGACUAGCUUAAGUGCUAUAUAGAUGCAGCAGUCCCUAAUGAUCAGAGAGGUUCGUCUUUUGCUGCUAUUAUCCGGGCUCACUCGGGGCCUUUUGUCCGGGGAGUUUCCUGUCCACCACGGCUGAACUCAUAGACAUACCUGAGGCCUUGUCGUGGCUGAAAGAAGAAGGGUACGAUAAAUGAUCAUUGAGUCGGAUUGCAAGCCGGUUAUGCUUGCAUUGAGUUAUUCAACGACAGAUUUAUCUGAAUUCGGAAAUGUAUUACGAGAUUACCUUUUUUCUCAGUGCAUCGUUUGAGCUUUUGUCUUUCCUUUGUACACAUUUAACAGCCAAUAAAACUGUCCAUGAGUUAGUUCAAGUGGCUUUAAUUCUCUCAUGGUCGACAUACUCGGGAUACUUCGUCCCACUAUCUAUCAUAUUCUUGAUUUAGAUUGUCCUUCACCCAUUGACUUUGAAGAACAUAGAAUUGUUCCUUUCAAAUUUUUUUUCUAUAACGAUGAUUACCAAUAGACGAC